This is a long non-coding RNA of Cervus elaphus (red deer), 465 nucleotides long. RefSeq lists it as uncharacterized. The transcript is spliced from 2 exons. The record is from RefSeq and is a predicted model, not a curated record. NCBI's taxonomy places the organism in Eukaryota, Metazoa, Chordata, Mammalia, Artiodactyla, Cervidae.
UUUUCUUUCCCAGUCUCUUGACACAUCUCUGUUGAUGAUGUCUUUCUAGAGAGAGAAGGAAGGCCAAUUACAUUCCCCUUUGUGGAUGAACUGAAUCAGCCAUCCAGGUGUGUUUUAAAAAACAAUCAAAACGCUGGAAAUUUCUCUCUGCUUCCCCCCAGUUAACAUUGUCUUGGAUAGAACCGGUUUAAAUGAAAAGAACAUGGAAAGUCCGAUGAAGCGUGGCACUCAUUUGCUUUCACUGUUGUGCUUCAGCAUCAGGCAAUAUGCUUCAGGACAAGGUUGAACAGCGCUGCUAUCAGGAGGAGAUUCUUGACUUGUUCCUGAUCAUAAUCGCUGAAUCAUUAAGCAUGAAACCUGCUAUAUAUUUUUGUUGGAGGAUUAUUACCUUGAGAGUCAUUUUUUUCUUUUCUGAUUUUGUAUAAAUUUUCAUUAUGAAAGGCUAUUAAAUUUUAUCAAACACUU